AGUUCAGACGUGUGCUCUUCCGAUCUGCCUUGGCACCAGGAGCCGAAGAAGGACGUGACAAGCUGCGAUAAGCAGCGGGGAGGAGCAAAUAUCCUACGAUCCGCUGAUUUCCGAAUGGGGAAACCCGGCUGGAAGAACUCCAGUCAUCAUACAGUGAAUACAUAGCUGUAUGAAGGGAACCGCCUGAACUGAAACAUCUAAGUAGGGCGAGGAAGAGAAAGAAACAUCGAUUUCCUGAGUAGCGGCGAGCGAAAGGGAAAGAGCCUAAACCGGAGCGCGUGCGUUCCGGGGUUAUGGACUGCAAAAGUGAGUUGAAAGCUAGAAGAAAGGUUUUGGGAAAGCCUGCCAGAGAGAGUGAAAGCCUCGUAUUCGAAAGCGGAAGACAGCGGCAGUAUCCGGAGUACCACGAGACACGAGAAACCUUGUGGGAAAUCGGGGGGACCACCCCCCAAGGCUAAAUACUACUUAGUGACCGAUAGCGCAUAGUACUGUGAAGGAAAGGUGAAAAGGACCCCGGGAGGGGAGUGAAAGAGAACCUGAAACCCUGUGUUUACAAGCUGUGGAAGUUCUUUAAAUGAACAACCGCGUACUUUUUGUAGAACGGUCCGGCGAGUUGCGGAUACUGGCAAGGUUAAGCACUUAAGGUGCGGAGCCGAAGGGAUACCAAGUCUUAACAGGGCGUUAAGUCAGUGUACGUAGACCCGAAACCGGGUGAUCUACCCAUGUCCAGGCUGAAGUUGCCGUAAAAGGCAAUGGAGGGCCGAACGCACAUCCGUUGAAAAGGGUGGCGAUGAGGUGUGGGUAGGGGAGAAAUUCCAAUCGAACCCGGAGAUAGCUGGUUCUCCUCGAAAUAGCUUUAGGGCUAGCCUCGUAUUAGUCUGCCGGAGGUAGAGCACUGAAUUUCCUAGGGGGCGUCAAAGCCUACCGAAGAAUAUCAAACUCCGAAUGCCGGCCAGAUGAUGUACGGGAGUCAGACUGCACGAGAUAAGUUGGGUGGUCAAAAGGGAAAGAGCCCAGACCUACAGCUAAGGUCCCAAAGUGCGUGUUAAGUGGAAAAGGAUGUGGGAUUUCGAAGACAACUAGGAUGUUGGCUCAGAAGCAGCCACACAUUAAAAGAGUGCGUAAUAGCUCACUAGUCGAGAGGUCCUGCGCCGAAAAUGUCCGGGGCUGAAACACGACACCGAAGCUUAGGAAUGUAAUACAUUGGUAGAGGAGCAUUGUUAGCGGAACGAAGCCAUACCGGAAGGAGUGGUGGACUGCUAAGAAGAGAGAAUGCCGGAAUGAGUAGCGAGAAUGAAGUGAGAAUCUUCAUGGCCGAAUAUCCAAGGAUUCCAGGGUAAAGCUGAUCUGCCCUGGGUAAGUCGGGACCUAAGGCGAGGCUGAAAAGCGUAGCUGAUGGACAACAGGUUGAAAUUCCUGUACUGCCUUAUAACAGAACUGUGGGGACGCGGCGGCAGGCCACGAGCCGGGAAAGGAAAGCCCGGUGCAAGCGUGCGAUGGUCAGGGAGGCAAACCCCCCUGAGGAACAGGACACGUGAUGCGGAGCGAAAUAAAGUAGCGAAGAGUGGUGAGCCGGCGCCGAGAAAAGCCGCUAUUGUUUGUAAGGUACCCGUACCGUAAACCGACACAGGUGGAUGAGGAGAGAAUCCUAAGGCCGACGGGAGAAGCAUUGUUAAGGAACUCGGCAAAAUGACCCCGUAACUUCGGGAGAAGGGGUGCCCAUGAAAGUGGGCCGCAGAGAAUAGGCUCAAGCAACUGUUUAGCAAAAACACAGGUCUAUGCAAAACCGAAAGGUGAAGUAUAUGGGCUGACGCCUGCCCGGUGCUGGAAGGUUAAGGGGAGAGGUUAGCGCAAGCGAAGCUUUGAACUUAAGCCCCAGUAAACGGCGGCCGUAACAAUAACGGUCCUAAGGUAGCGAAAUUCCUUGUCGGGUAAGUUCCGACCCGCACGAAAGGCGUAAUGAUUUGAGCACUGUCUCGACAAUGCACCCGGUGAAAUUGAAGUACCAGUGAAGAUGCUGGUUACCCGCGCCAGGACGGAAAGACCCCAUGGAGCUUUACUCUAGUUUGGUACUGGGGUCCGGUAUUGCAUGUACAGGAUAGGUGGGAGGCUAUGAAGUGGGAACGCCAGUUUCCAUGGAGCCGACGUUGGGAUACCACCCCUGCAGUACUGGGCUUCUAACAUGCGGCCGUAAGCCGGCCGGUGGACAAUGCCAGGCGGGGAGUUUGACUGGGGCGGUCGCCUCCGAAAGAGUAUCGGAGGCGCUCAAAGGUUCCCUCAGAAUGGUUGGAAACCAUUCGAAGAGUGCAAAGGCAGAAGGGAGCUUGACUG
RNAcentral lists this ribosomal RNA (2331 nucleotides) under human gut metagenome. RNAcentral describes it as "bacterial LSU rRNA". It matches the Rfam family "Bacterial large subunit ribosomal RNA", at positions 1 to 2375 of the family's 2925-position model. The record is from RNAcentral.